RNAcentral lists this long non-coding RNA (278 nucleotides) under Elaeis guineensis (African oil palm). RNAcentral describes it as "long non-coding RNA (EGUI_LNC060327)". The record is from RNAcentral. Lineage: Eukaryota; Viridiplantae; Streptophyta; Magnoliopsida; Arecales; Arecaceae.
UGCAGCAUGGGAUGAAGAAGGAGAGAAUAGGAGGUGUUGAGAUGUCUCUUGCAGUAAGGAAUCACCAUGUAGAAAUCUGCAAGCUAUCAAAUAGUGCACGUCCACUCUUUUUUUUAUUUUUAUCACAUAAAAAUAAUUCUCCACACCUCAAAACUGAUAAGGAUCAGAUCUACUUCCAUAUUUGAAUCAAAUUCAAAAGAAAAUUAGGUCAACAAGGGAGAGAGAGUCCCAGGGAAGUGGGGAGGUACCAACUUGCACCUCCUCACACCUUCACGCAC